GAAUUGAUUCUAAGGAAGCACGCAUUUCUUAGUGAUGGUGUAGGCGGUUCAAACAUAAGUUGAUGCAGGUAUAGGGCGAGCCGAUGCUGUUCACUAGGUUGUUGGAGCAGAUCGAGUAACUAAGGAGCUAGGCGGGGCCCUUGCGGCCCACAUUGAUCUCCACUACUAGUUGAUAGACUCAUACUUUCACUUACUUGAACUUUGUUAUUUGAGAUUGUAUAAGUCCUAUAUGGGCGCCACAUUUGGAAAUUGGUGAUGAUCAGAAUGUUUUUAUUU
Molecule: long non-coding RNA, 276 nt
Organism: Magnolia sinica
Lineage: Eukaryota; Viridiplantae; Streptophyta; Magnoliopsida; Magnoliales; Magnoliaceae
Exons: 2
Source: RefSeq, a predicted model, not a curated record